CGCAUCUGUGCAUGCAGCAUAUCAAUAAGCGGAGGAAAAGAAACUAACAAGGAUUCCCCUAGUAACGGCGAGUGAAGCGGGAAGAGCUCAAAUUUGAAAUCUUAAAGGGUUUCCCUUUACGAAUUGUAGUUUAAAGAAGUGUUUUCUGUUGAGGUUUUGGUAAAAGUUCUUUGGAAUAGGACAUCAUAGAGGGUGAGAAUCCCGUAUUUGACCUUUACUUUCAACUUUGUGAUACACUUUCAAAGAGUCGGAUUGUUUGGGAAUGCAGUCCAAAAUGGGUGGUAAAUUUCAUCUAAAGCUAAAUAUUGGCGAGAGACCGAUAGCGAACAAGUACCGUGAGGGAAAGAUGAAAAGAACUUUGAAAAGAGAGUUAAACAGUACGUGAAAUUGUCAAAAGGGAAGCGUUUGACACCAGUGUUGUUUUUCUGAAAAUCAAUUAAAGAACUGUUUAUGCUAAGUUGUUUAGACUUUAUCAGCUAACUGUUUAGUUUUGAGCUUUUCUUUAAUGCACUUUUCAGUUAACAAGUCAACAUCAAUUUCUUAUGCUGUAAAAAAGCUUGAGGAAGGUGGCUUGAGAUUCGUCUUAAGUGUUUAUAGCCUCUUGCCUAUGCAGUCGGAGAGAUUGAGGUCUGCAGCGUAGAUCCUUCGGGGCUAAAUGCAUUUGUGCUAAGUUAUAGCAUUUUAUAGACAACUUGUUGACUAUGAUUUGUCUUGUAGCUUACUCGCUUAUGUUAUUUUACCUACGCUUAGGAUGUUGACAGCAGUAUAGACUGU
RNAcentral lists this ribosomal RNA (774 nucleotides) under uncultured Neocallimastigales. RNAcentral's name for it is "partial large subunit ribosomal RNA". It matches the Rfam family "Eukaryotic large subunit ribosomal RNA", at positions 26 to 637 of the family's 3401-position model. The record is from RNAcentral. Lineage: Eukaryota; Fungi; Neocallimastigomycota; Neocallimastigomycetes; Neocallimastigales.